GACGAACGCUGGCGGCGUGCUUAACACAUGCAAGUCGAACGGUGAAGGGGCCUGCUUUUGUUGGUCCUGGAUGAGUGGCGAACGGGUGAGUAACACGUGAGUAACCUGCCCCCUUCUUCUGGAUAACCGCAUGAAAGUGUGGCUAAUACGGGAUAUUCUGUGCCUGCUGCAUGGUGGGUGUGGGAAAGAUUGCGCCCUUUUUGGGUGUUUUUGGUGGGGGAUGGGCUCGCGGCCUAUCAGCUUGUUGGUGGGGUGAUGGCCUACCAAGGCGGUGACGGGUAGCCGGCCUGAGAGGGUGGACGGUCACACUGGGACUGAGACACGGCCCAGACUCCUACGGGAGGCAGCAGUGGGGAAUAUUGCACAAUGGGCGCAAGCCUGAUGCAGCGACGCCGCGUGAGGGAUGGAGGCCUUCGGGUUGUGAACCUCUUUCGCCAGUGAAGCAGGCCUGCUCCUUGGUGGGG
Molecule: ribosomal RNA, 464 nt
Filed under: Actinomyces sp. oral taxon 171
Lineage: Bacteria; Bacillati; Actinomycetota; Actinomycetes; Actinomycetales; Actinomycetaceae
Description: bacterial SSU rRNA
Rfam family: Bacterial small subunit ribosomal RNA
Source: RNAcentral